GGUGAACGCUGGCGGUAGGCCUAACACAUGCAAGUCGAACGGCAGCACAGUAAGAGCUUGCUCUUACGGGUGGCGAGUGGCGGACGGGUGAGGAAUACAUCGGAAUCUACUUUUUCGUGGGGGAUAACGUAGGGAAACUUACGCUAAUACCGCAUACGACCUACGGGUGAAAGCAGGGGAUCUUCGGACCUUGCGCGAUUGAAUGAGCCGAUGUCGGAUUAGCUAGUUGGCGGGGUAAAGGCCCACCAAGGCGACGAUCCGUAGCUGGUCUGAGAGGAUGAUCAGCCACACUGGAACUGAGACACGGUCCAGACUCCUACGGGAGGCAGCAGUGGGGAAUAUUGGGCAAUGGGCGCAAGCCUGAUCCAGCCAUACCGCGUGGGUGAAGAAGGCCUUCGGGUUGUAAAGCCCUUUUGUUGGGAAAGAAAAGCAGCAGGUUAAUACCCCGCUGUUCUGACGGUACCCAAAGAAUAAGCACCGGCUAACUUCGUG
RNAcentral lists this ribosomal RNA (492 nucleotides) under uncultured bacterium. RNAcentral describes it as "partial 16S ribosomal RNA". It matches the Rfam family "Bacterial small subunit ribosomal RNA", at positions 28 to 507 of the family's 1533-position model. The record is from RNAcentral.